UACGUAGGGCGCAAGCGUUGUCCGGAAUUAUUGGGCGUAAAGAGCUCGUAGGCGGCCUGUUGCGUCCGCUGUGAAAUCCCGGGGCUCAACCCCGGGCCUGCAGUGGAUACGGGCUGGCUAGAGGCAGGCAGGGGAGAACGGGAAUUCCUGGUGUAGCGGUGAAAUGCGCAGAUAUCAGGAGGAACACCGGUGGCGAAGGCGGUUCUCUGGGCCUGUACUGACGCUGGAGGAGCGAAAGCGUGGGGAGCAAACAGG
Molecule: ribosomal RNA, 255 nt
Filed under: uncultured bacterium
Lineage: Bacteria
Description: partial 16S ribosomal RNA
Rfam family: Bacterial small subunit ribosomal RNA
Source: RNAcentral